GGCAUUGUUUUCUGAUGUAGGACCUGGGAGGCGGUGGCCUUAGGGCACUGCAGGGCAGGCCACUGCAGCUGAGGAUGCCCGAAGCUCCAAGGUCAAGAUGUGGACGGUACCUCCACUAUCACCAUGGAUGGCACCUCCGGGUGGAUGCCAGCAGCCGGUCAUUUGCAGGAAUAGGGUAGAACGUAGAUGAAGAAAUGGGAAAUACACCAGUGAUCCAGAGGUUAAAACUGUCAGUGAAAGAAGGAAGCGACCGGGAGAACCAUUCCGGCAGCAGUGAAGAGGCGGUAGGACAGAUUUCAAUCGUUUCCGUCUCACGGGAGCAGGGGUUUUGAAACGUGGAGAUGAAGCGACGGUCUGCAGGCAGCACAGAGGCAAGGGGGACCCCGGUCUCUGGUCCCGACCCUCAGGUAUACUGUCUGUGAAGGAGAAAUAAUCCUCUGUCUUAGUCUGUUUGUGCUGCUAAAACACAAUACCACAGACUGGGCAGCCUGUAAACUAUAUAUAUAUAUAUUUUUCUUUUUUCUUUUAAUUUUUAAAAAUUAAAGUAUUGUGGAUUUAUAAUGUUCUGUCAAUUUCUACUGUAUGGCAAAAUGACCUAGUCCUAUAUACAUGUAUGUAUGUAUAUACAUGCUUUUCUCAUGUUAUCUUCCAUCCUGUUCUAUCACAAGUGAUUGGAUAGAAUUCCCUGGGCUGUACAGCAGGACCUCAUUGCUUAUCCAUUCUGUAAGUAAUAGUUUGCAGCUACGAACCCCAAACGGUUCUGAAUGAUGGGGGUCUAAGAUCAGGGUUGGGGGAGGUCCCAUGUCUUACUGUGACCCCACAUGGUGGAGGGGACAGCUAGGCCUCUGCCACCUCUCUUAUAAAGACUCCAACACUGUUCAAGUGGUGCUAGGACCUCAUCACCUCCCACAGGUCCCCCCCUCCCAAUCCUAUCACCUUGAAUAUUAGGUUUUCAACAUAUGAAUUUGGGGUGGAUACAAACAUUCAGACCAGAGCAUCAUCCAUUUGAGAAGUAAGUUCUCAGCGGAACAAUGAGAUUUCAGACUAAAGAACCCAGAGGUUGACAUAUUACUUUAAGAAGAAGCACCAAGGUGGACAGGAAUGUGGCAUCUUGGAUGGACACCUUGGAACAGAAAAAGGAUAAAAGGUAAAAAGUGAGGAAACCUUUAGAAUGCAUGUUUGGUUCAUAGAAUUUUAACGAAUUUAAAGUUUAACAAAUGUACAUAGGAAGGUAAGCUGUUAAUAAGAGAGGAACUGGAUUAGGAUACACAGGAGGUCUCUGUACCAUCUGUGCAAUUUAUGUGACAUUGAAAUUUUUCUGUAAAUCUAAACGCAUUUUAAAAUUACACAUUUAAUCGAAUAUAAGUCUCAGGGGAAAAAUACUAAGUUUUAUUUUAGUGCACGCAAAGAGUAACAUACAGACAAAACUCAACACAUGGAGUUCCAUGGAGUCAGGGGCACUGCUACGUAAAAAAGACAUUUCAAACCUCGUUAGUUCUGCCCACGAGGCCUCAUCUCUUUUCCUCUCACUGCCGUUUCUGUGAAGGACAUGGUGUCUGAAGGUGGCUCUGGGAAGGGAGGAUGGGUGGAAAUUCUUGGCAUGAAAGAUCAAAGACUUUUUCAAAAGUCCAGUCAACUCUCAUGUUGCUGAUAGAAAUACACGAUCUGCCCCCCUUUACACACACACACACACACACGUGUUCUACUUCUAUGGAGGUUAUUUGGGCAUAUAUAUAUGUAUAAUAUAUGUAUAUUACAAAUGCAUAUAACUUCUGAUCACAUAAUUCAGUUCUGAGAACAAUUGGCCGAGACUAGUACCUUCACGAGAAAUAUCUGUGCGGUGUUACCGCUACAGCGUUAUUUGUAACAGCAAAAUAUUUUAAACAGCCUAAGUGCUCAUCAACAAAGAACUAGUUAAAUAACCUGAACAUGUGAUGGAAUGCACCAUGAACUGUAAAAAGGCAGUGUUCACUGUAUGUGAACAUCCACGCGUGUACAUGUGUGUGUAUGUACGUGACUGCAUCAACCAAGUCCCUAUAAACCGGUAAAUGAGCCAGUUCCCUGCAAGAGUAAGAAGAGACAAACACAGAAUUGUGUGAAAAAAGCCAUUAAAAUUCUUACAUCUUAAAAGAAAAUGCAUGCAUUUCGUUUCAAGAUACAGGAGGUGGCGUGAAAAAUUCUCCUUUGAGCAAUAUUUCCAUUUGGAGUAGUGGAAAUAAGCAGGGUUAAAAUACUCGGGUUUCCUGAGGCGCCUCCUAAUACUUAUUUUCCACUUUCUCUUCUUCAAGUUGGGAAGGGUGACUCUUGUCCCUUGCUUCCUACCUUGUUAGCUGAGAAAUAUAGCGUCCUCGUCAGCUGUUUGUUAGCAUAACCCUAAGACAACGCUGAGUGAAAAAGCAAUAUGAUGAGUCGGUAGCUUUAAAUUUUUUAUAUGGAUUAAUAAAACGUUGAGAAAAUGUGAAAACAUUAAUUCUAAGCUUGCUUAAAGUCUGCAAAAUAAAUAAGUACAUAAAAAAUAGAAGGUUCAAAGUAGCUUUAAUGAUACUGUCAGAAUUUGCAAUAACCCUGGAGGGACCGUGAUGAAACACAAAUGUCUCCAAUUUCUAUAAAGAGAAAGUAAAAAGGGGAAAACAUGAAAACUAUUAAAACAUGAACCCUUAUGCAUCUUUAGGAGAUACCUCCCCCAAAUGAAACUGCUAUUAGCCAGUUGUAAUGCUGUGCAGGUGGAGCACCGGGUUCACCUUUAUAAUGUCGGACACUGUUUUCCUACUUGUUUUCUCAGAAGGAAUGAACUUUUAAACACCAGUUCUAAAAUCUGAAGUUUGGGGCUAUAAAACUAAACUGGAAUGCCAAAAAGGAAACUGAUACAUUCUAUUGGGGAAGAAUAAAAAGGAAUUUGUCAACCAGAAGAAAUCAUGUCAUGAAAAAUAUGCCUUUGCGAAGGGAAGUAGGGGAGUUUCCAGAGUUAAAAUAGAAAACAGAUUAUGAGGUAUCGGUAUGACUCUUACUACAGUCUCGAGCUGCUUUUAGACGGAAGGGGACAGACCUCUCACAGCCCGUCACCUGCUCCACACCACAACCCACAUGCUGCCCCACGCACACUCACUGCACAUUCUCCGUGCCGUAAAUCCAGACAUCAAAGGCCCCCAAAGGUCCCCAAAGGCCUCCGGUUCCAAAUAAAUACAUCAUGUUAAAUAAAAAUCUCGAUUAAGCUUAGCCCACAGCUAUGUUUAAAACAAACUAUGGGAGUUCCCGUCCUGGCGCAGUGGUUAACGAAUCCGACUAGGAACCAUGAGGUUGCGGGUUCGGUCCCUGCCCCUUGCUCAGUGGGUUAAGGAUCCGGCGUUGCCGUGAGCUGUGGUGUAGGUUGCAGACGCGGCUCGGAUCCCGCGUUGCUGUGGCUCUGGCGUAGGCCGGUGGCUACAGCUCCGAUUCAACCCCUAGCCUGGGAACCUCCAUAUGCCGCGGGAGCAGCCCAAGAAAUAGCAACAACAACAACAACAACAAAAAGACAAAAGACAAAAAAAAACAAACAAAACAAAAAACAAAAAACAAACAAACUAUGUAUGACGCUUUGGCCCAGGACAUUGAUAAAAUGUCAGAUAAAAAAUGGCUAUUUCUGUGGGAGUGGUAUGUAGAUCAUUUUUAGAUUAAACAGUGAGAGCACACACACACACACACACACACACACACACACACACACACACACACACACUUCUGGAAUUCAUGUAAUCAAUCAAUUUAGACUAUUAGCAGCAAAAGGUCAGAUGGUCUGUUUAUGCACUCAGGGCCAAACUUCCUUUUUACUGGUGUUGCACAUACAGCCUUUUUUGUUUGUUUGUUUUCACUGUUUUCUUUCACAAAUAGCCACAAGUAGAAAUGUGUUUGCAAACGUACUUGGAGAUUGUUUAUACAAUGGACCCACGUCAAUACUAUGAUACACUAUUGGCAAGCUUUCCAAUCAUUCAUUCAUAAUUCAUUCCUUAAACAUCUAUCGAGAGCCUAGUCUGUGCUAGGAAUCUAGCUGCAUACUGGAGAUAUACUACUCGUGGCAAUAUCCCUGCCUGACCAAGGAAACCACUGAUCACAAGGCACAGACAGGCUCUUAUUGGCAGGGUUAGAAGAAGUUUCCUUAAGGAAGUGACCCCUGAGACGUAGCAAAAAAGGUGAAUACAAGGAUUCAGAAGAAGAACAGACAAGGAAAACCUUCCUAAGCAGAAACCCAGUGUGUGCCAAGUCUUCAGAAAGAGAAAGUCUGGACUCUCUGGGAAGAUUCCAGCUUUGCUAUAACUGGGAAUGAGGGUUUAAAGAACCAGAAUGGGGAGAGAAGAGGGUUGUGCUGUGUUAAUAAAUUCAUAUUUUUUUAAUAAAAGCAUGAUCUUUUUUACACUGUCAAAGAGUUAAUAGAAGUAGAGUAACAAGAUCCCCAAAAGAGGCAGUGAGACCAGCAGAAGAGCUACGACGGUAUGAAAGAUGGACGGUAAUGACAGAAGCCAGACUGCAAUGGUGAAAACAGGGAGGAAGAGGUAGCGUUGAGUGGCAUGUAGGACAUACAAUUAUCAGGAACUGGAGACGUACCUGACUUGGGAUGUGAAAGAAGUGGAGGCGUCAGCGAUGAUGGGUCCAUCCCGAGGCUGGGUGACUGGAUGGCGCCAUGAACCAAGGUGGCCAGUGCAGGGAAAGGGGACAUCAGAUGUGGGUGGUGAAGAAUGGCAGGGUCUCAUGUGGGUGUGGGAUGGCGGGGUGAAGGUGAAGGAUGCAGGUGAGGGGUGUGGUUUUCGGCAGGCAGGUCCAGGUCAGCUUCCUAUAGGACAUCCACUCGAAACCGAAAUUAGGGGGAAGAUGUUUCCGUUUUGGAACUAGGAGGGUGGGAGACUGAGGAGGGGCUGUGAGAUCAUUUAUUACGAUUAUGAAGAGUGAGAAAAGAAAGAAGUCAGGAUGAAAGUGUUGGGAACUGCAACAGUAAAGGGGAAGGAAGAGGCGUUCUCAAAGGGGACUUGGAAGAGAAGUCAGAAAAGCAAAAGGAAGACCAAGAAAGAGAGGCUUCAAAGGGCAAAAGCAUCUGAAAAGGAGAGGAAGUCAUUACGGUCAGUCCUGCUGUGGGUUCACGUGCAACGAGGAAUGAAACCCAGGGACAUUUGACAGCCCAGGGGUCGCUAGUGAUCUGGCGACAGAUUCAUGGAGAUGCUGCUACGUAAGCAUCAUGAGGAGGCUGAGACACUGAAAGAUCACAACAUCUGAAAAAUGAAUCAGAUGCUCUGGGCCACAGGCAGGUGAGACAGGUGGGACAGGAGGAACAUGUCGCUGAGAUGGGGGCUCCCCAAGACCUGUCGAUAGGCUGAAGUGGACCAGUCCGGAGAGGGGCGAGGGUGGAGAUGCCUGCAGAGCGGGGACAGUUGUUGGCUUUGGCCCCUGAGAAGGAAGGAGGCUUGUGCAUCAACAACACAAACCAGAGGUCAGACUGCAGCCCUGAGCACGAGGAAAGAAUGAUGCGAGCAGGUGCCAGUAAGUGUGGGAUCGGUGGAGGCUGGGGGAGAAGAGAGGCAAGAUUUGGAAGUUCUUACUAAUUCUUUCAUUUUCUUUGUGAAACUUUCUGAGCCAGAUGUCAGGUAGAGUUUAAGAGUGAGGCAUCAACAGAUGAAUGGAUAAAAAGAUGUCCUAUUUUUAUACCAUCAAAUAUUACUCAUAAAAGAGAGCAAAAUUCUGCCAUUUGCAGCAAUGUGGACAGACCUAGGGAAUAUUAGGCUUAGUGAAAUUAGUCAGAUAAAGACAAAUCUGUGUGACAUCACUUACAUGUGGAAUCUAAAAAAAUAACACAAAUGAAGGUAUAUGCAAAACAGAAACAGACUCACAGAUACAGAAAACAAACUGGCAUUUACUAAAAGAGAGAAGGAAGGAGGAAGAGCAAAUUAGGGUAAUGGGGUUAAGAGAUGCAAACCACUGUGGAUAAAACCGAUAAGCAAAAAGGAAACCACAAGGAAUUAUAGCCAUUAUCUUGUCAUGAUUUUUACUUGGGUAUAGUCUAUAAAGACAUUGAGUCGCAAGGCUAUGCUCCUGACACUAAUAAAAUAUUGCGAAUCAACUAUAUUUCAAUAAAAAGAGUGAGGAAUUAUAGGUUAGGGACACAAUUUGGGAACCAUUUUAAUGGAAGGUCAUAGAGAGUGGCCCCAGUGGGACAAGUGCAGUGAGGACACCGGUUGGAGAUCAUGAAUUUUUAGGGCUUCUAAUCUGAAAGGAUAUACAUGACACUCUCUAAUGGGACUCACAGGUCUGGGACUAAGGGGACACUACCUGAGAGAUUGGGUUGCUCCAAGCAGGGUUUCUUGUUGGGAGAUGCGGAAAAGCCCUGAAGGACUGAGAGUUGACAUCGCGGCAGGAGAGCAGUCAACAGGGCGAAAC
RNAcentral lists this long non-coding RNA (6399 nucleotides) under Sus scrofa (pig). Its description in RNAcentral is "lncRNA (ENSSSCG00030034511.1)". The record is from RNAcentral. Lineage: Eukaryota; Metazoa; Chordata; Mammalia; Artiodactyla; Suidae.